CCUACGGUGGACUGCAGUCGAGAAUCAUUCACAAUGGGGGAAACCCUGAUGGUGCGACGCCGCGUGGGGGAAUGAAGGUCUUCGGAUUGUAAACCCCUGUCAUGUGGGAGCAAAUUAAAAAGAUAGUACCACAAGAGGAAGAGACGGCUAACUCUGUGCCAGCAGCCGCGGUAAUACAGAGGUCUCAAGCGUUGUUCGGAAUCACUGGGCGUAAAGCGUGCGUAGGCUGUUUCGUAAGUCGUGUGUGAAAGGCGCGGGCUCAACCCACGGACGGCACAUGAUACUGCGAGACUAGAGUAAUGGAGGGGGAACCGGAAUUCUCGGUGUAGCAGUGAAAUGCGUAGAUAUCGAGAGGAACACUCGUGGCGAAGGCGGGUUCCUGGACAUUAACUGACGCUGAGGCACGAAGGCCAGGGGAGCGAAAGGGAUUAGAUACCCCGGUAGUC
This 446-nucleotide ribosomal RNA is filed under the name uncultured bacterium. RNAcentral's name for it is "partial 16S ribosomal RNA". It matches the Rfam family "Bacterial small subunit ribosomal RNA", at positions 338 to 795 of the family's 1533-position model. The record is from RNAcentral.